AGGCUUGUAGCUCAAUUGGUAGAGCAGUGGACUCCAAAUCCAAAGGUUGCCUUCCAAGCCUG
This 62-nucleotide transfer RNA is filed under the name Patescibacteria group bacterium. RNAcentral describes it as "tRNA-Trp". It matches the Rfam family "tRNA". Rfam says of the family: Transfer RNA (tRNA) molecules are approximately 80 nucleotides in length. Their secondary structure includes four short double-helical elements and three loops (D, anti-codon, and T loops). The record is from RNAcentral.